UACGUAGGUCCCGAGCGUUGUCCGGAUUUAUUGGGCGUAAAGCGAGCGCAGGUAAUUUAUUAAGUCUGGUGUAAAAGGCAGUGGCUCAACCAUUGUAUGCAUUGGAAACUGGUAGACUUGAGUGCAGGAGAGGAGAGUGGAAUUCCAUGUGUAGCGGUGAAAUGCGUAGAUAUAUGGAGGAACACCGGUGGCGAAAGCGGCUCUCUGGCCUGUAACUGACACUGAGGCUCGAAAGCGUGGGGAGCAAACAGG
Molecule: ribosomal RNA, 252 nt
Filed under: uncultured bacterium
Lineage: Bacteria
Description: partial 16S ribosomal RNA
Rfam family: Bacterial small subunit ribosomal RNA
Source: RNAcentral